AUGUCUCCAAAUAAGUGUGUUUUUGGAUGUGAGGGCAAGUUUACCGUGUUCAGCUUCCCAAAGAACCCAGCAUUACAUGAACAGUGGAUGCAGUUUGUUUUUCCGGGGCAGCAACGGAGUGUAGCAAGUGCGUUUGUGUGUUCUCGUCAUUUCAGUGAUGAAUGUUUUAUAAACAAGGCCCAGGUCGACGCUGGAUUUGCACAUGGUUUGCUAUUAAAACAUGGAGCGUUCCCAGUGAUAAAGACCCCAUUCAUGCCGGAUUGGACACCUGCACAGGAUGCAUGCUGCUCACGGGUCGUGACUUUGACACCACUAAAGCAGAACAAUGCCAAGUGAGUAAUCAUUUCUGUAUCACUCUCUUAUGCAUGACCUUAAUUUUGGUUUUCUGUAUUUUGCACUUGCAGACUCAUGGCCCGUUUUGCAAUAACAUUGUCAAUUCAACCUCCACACUAAAAAAAAGAUCUUAGUAUGUUUGUCCUGUUUUUCAGUACAAAUACCUAAACGUUUUUAAAUCAAGAUACAUUUAAUUGAGAAGCAAACUGACACAAGAUAUUAAGUAUUGUUUUCUGAAUAUAUAUAUAUCAAAAUUAAGUGAGUUUAUGCUUAAAACAACGAAAAGCAUCUGCCAAUGGAUUUACAAAAAA
Molecule: long non-coding RNA, 644 nt
Organism: Cyprinus carpio carpio
Lineage: Eukaryota; Metazoa; Chordata; Actinopteri; Cypriniformes; Cyprinidae
Source: Ensembl